AUAGUACUCCUUCAGUCCCAGAUUUCUUGUCUUAGAUUUAUUAAGAUAUGAAUGUAUCUAGUCAAGUUUUACUAUUUAGAUAUAUCCAUUUCUACAGAGCUAAGACAAGAAUUUUGGAACGGAGGGAGUAUUAU
This is a non-coding RNA of Hordeum vulgare subsp. vulgare (domesticated barley), 134 nucleotides long. Lineage: Eukaryota; Viridiplantae; Streptophyta; Magnoliopsida; Poales; Poaceae. The record is from Rfam.